AAUAUUGGACAAUGGGCGAAAGCCUGAUCCAGCCAUGCCGCGUGUGUGAAGAAGGUCUUCGGAUUGUAAAGCACUUUACGUUGGGAGGAAGGGCAGUAAGUUAAUACCUUGCUGUUUUGACGUUACCGACAGAAUAAGCACCGGCUAACUUCGUCCCAGCAGCCGCGGUAAGACGAAGGGUGCAAGCGUUAAUAGGCAUUACUUGGCGUAAAGCGCGCGUAGGAGGUUUGGUAAGUUUGAAGUGAAAGCCCCGGGCUCAACCUGGGAACUGCUUUCAUAACUGCUGAGCUAGAGUACGGUAGAGGGUAGUGGAAUUUCCUGUGUAGCGGUGAAAUGCGUAGAUAUAGGAAGGAACACCAGUGGCGAAGGCGACUACCUGGACUGAUACUGACACUGAGGUGCGAAAGCGUGGGGAGCAAAC
Molecule: ribosomal RNA, 421 nt
Filed under: uncultured bacterium
Lineage: Bacteria
Description: partial 16S ribosomal RNA
Rfam family: Bacterial small subunit ribosomal RNA
Source: RNAcentral